Non-coding RNA from Pongo abelii (Sumatran orangutan), 687 nucleotides. NCBI's taxonomy places the organism in Eukaryota, Metazoa, Chordata, Mammalia, Primates, Hominidae. The record is from Rfam.
CCCACUGAAUUUAAGCACACUAGUUAGUGGAGAAGAAACUUAACAAGGAUUCCCUCAGUAACAGCAAGUGAACAUGGAAGAGCCCAGUGCUAAACCUCUGCCCCACAGUGGGGGUGCUGGAAAUGUGGCAUAGAGAAGACCCACUCCCCACUGCUGCUUAUAGCACCCAAGUCCUUCUGAUUAAGGCCCAGCCUGAUGAUGGUAUGAGGCCAGCAGCAGGCUCUGAUGCACUGGGCCUGGGCGUUAUUGGGGCCAUGUUGCUUGAGAAUGUACCCCAAAGUGGGUAGUAAACUCCAUCUACUAAGGCUAAAUACCUGCACAAAAUUGAUAGUCAACAAGAACCAUAAGGGAAAGUUAAAAAGAUAUAUACAUUUGGUCUUCAUCACCUGAUAUGGUUUGGAUCUGUGUCCCCUAUAAAUCUCAUGUCAAAUUGCAAUCCCCAGUGUUGGAGAUGGGGCCUGGUGGGAAGUGACUGGAUCAUGGUGGCGGAUUUCUCAGGAAUGGUUUAGCACCAUCCCCUUGGUGCUGUUCUCAUGAUAGUGAGUGAGUUCUCGUGAGAUCUGGUUGUUUAAAGGUAUGCAGCAUCUCCCCCUCACUCUUGCUCUUGCUCCCACCAUGUAAUAUGCUUGCUUCCUCUUUGCCUUCAGCCAUGAUUGGAAGCUUCCUGAGGCCUCCUCAGAAGCAGGA